CCUACGGGAGGCAGCAGUGGGGAAUAUUGCACAAUGGGGGAAACCCUGAUGCAGCGACGCCGCGUGAGUGAAGAAGUAAUUCGUUAUGUAAAGCUCUAUCAGCAGGGAAGAAAAUGACGGUACCUGAGUAAGAAGCCCCGGCUAACUACGUGCCAGCAGCCGCGGUAAUACGUAGGGGGCAAGCGUUAUCCGGAUUUACUGGGUGUAAAGGGAGCGUAGACGGGAGUGCAAGUCCGGAGUGAAAGGCUGGGGCUCAACCCCCGGACUGCUCUGGAAACUGUACGGCUGGAGUGCAGGAGAGGUAAGUGGAAUUCCUGGUGUAGCGGUGAAAUGCGUAGAUAUUAGGAGGAACACCAGUGGCGAAGGCGGCUUACUGGACUGUAACUGACGUUGAGGCUCGAAAGCGUGGGGAGCAAACAGGAUUAGAUACCCCAGUAGUC
RNAcentral lists this ribosomal RNA (440 nucleotides) under uncultured bacterium. Its description in RNAcentral is "partial 16S ribosomal RNA". It matches the Rfam family "Bacterial small subunit ribosomal RNA", at positions 338 to 795 of the family's 1533-position model. The record is from RNAcentral.